CAAGAAAAAGAUCAUCCGCUGUGGCUGGGGAGGGCCUGAAGAACCCGGUGUUCCGGUCCCCUGCUGCUGGGAAGGAAUCUGAUGAAAUAAACACAGCUAUGCUCCAAGAUGUACGUUCAAGAAUGUUCUCUGAAGCGCUCCUUCUAAUAAUGAAAACCGGAAACCAUUUAAGUGUCCAACGAGAGCGGAGGAAGGUUCCUCUUUUUCUGGUCUGUGGCUUGUGCUCCCAAAGAAACACAGGACUGGAAAUUGGACCUUGGAAACCAGCUGAAGUUUCCAAUC
Molecule: long non-coding RNA, 282 nt
Organism: Talpa occidentalis (Iberian mole)
Lineage: Eukaryota; Metazoa; Chordata; Mammalia; Eulipotyphla; Talpidae
Exons: 3
Source: RefSeq, a predicted model, not a curated record